CGUUGAUUUUUAGUAAGUAAAAUAAGUGUAUUUAUUGGUUGACUAGUUACAUAAUCUUGAGAAUUAGCAAUAAAAUCUUUAAAAUGUUUGUGUAAAGAGUAAAGUAGGGUAUAUUUAAACUCUACUUUUGCUUCUUGGGAUUGGAAUGGAAAAGUAAAUAACGUAACUGAGUUCUGUUGUGAUGAAAUACUAGUGAAAAUAAUUGAGGUCAUAACUGAAAAGAAGUAAUAAAAUCAAGAUGCUAAUGUAAUCUAACAUAUCAGAACACCAAAGGGAAGAGUUUCAUAGUUGCUGGUUUCAAUUGAGUUCAAAUUAAUUAAAAUGUAGUAAAUACCUAUCAUGUUUAACAUAUAAUCUUGCUUCUAUAAGUAACAUGCUUACAUUUAAAGAAUAUAUAAUCAAUCUAGUCAGUAAAAUAGGCCAGGUACAGAAACAGAAAUAAAUACAUACAUACAUAUAUAUAUAUAUAUAUAUAUAUAUAUAUAUAUAUAUAUAUAUAUAUGCAAAGUGAAAUCCAGUGAUUUUAAAUAUAAAUUAUUUCUGCCAUAAACCUUAGUCAGUCUUAUGCUGUGAUGAUAAACAGUGAGGUCAUGAUCAAUACAAAUAAAACUUACUCUAGAAGGAGAGAGAAAAUAGUGGGAUGUUUUGAACAGUAAACCGUGGUGGAAAAACCUCAGAUGAAAAAUAUUCUAACUCAAGAAAACUUACUAGUGAUUUCCAAGUUUGACAAGAUAGCUUCCUUCUCCACUUGACUUAGGUAAGUUACUCCUUUCAAUGUGGGGAUUAUGAGAAUAUCACGUUGAAUUCGAAGGCUUGGUUGAUCUAUUAGCUUUAUUUAUUUUUUAAAUGUUUUAUAGCCCCUGGCUAUAAACUGCCUCACAAAUACGUAUUAGUCAAAGAUACCUAAACAAAAUAGAGUGAGUUCAGAAAAAGCUCAAUGUCAUUGCCUGAAAUGUAAAUCAAAUCUCAUUCUUCAUUAAUGGGCAUAUGCAGCCCCACCAACAGAGGGAUGUACAAGCUGUGUGUCUUUUGGGGAAAACCGUUGAUUAACUUUGACUAUAGUUUCUUUACCACCAAAUGGGGAUACUAACAUUUGCCUUAAUUCAAAGAUAUGUGAAAUUAUUUUUCUCUCAGGACAUUGAAUUUAAUAUUGUAACUGUGUCUAAUAAAGGGAAUCUAAAUAAUAAAAGUUUAAUUCUUAAUUCAUAGAGUUCUGCAUUAUUUUCUAUUUGAUAACUUAUAAAAUCAUGAACUAAGCACUCAUUCUGAGCCAUCAGUAUAAUUUUUGACAUUCUCUCCAUUUUAAUACACAUCCUCAAGCUUUCUUUAUAAAAUUAUCCUUUCCAAAGUACAAUCUGUCUGUAAAUACACUUAAUCAAUUUACCUAUUCCUGUUCUCUGUAGUUAUUUCAAAAUAAUGGAUCAGAGUCCCUUAGUAAGAUAUGCUCUAAGGUCUUGAUAAACAUGAACAGUUUUCUGAAAAUGCAUCAGUGUGUUUCAUUAGCUUCCUUAAUUUGGGGGAAUAAAUAUACUGACUGUGAAUUCUGGGAUCUGAAUUAAAUUGGUGUAUGACUGGGAACAUUAAUGAU
Equus caballus (horse) is the source of this 1588-nucleotide long non-coding RNA. The record is from Ensembl. Lineage: Eukaryota; Metazoa; Chordata; Mammalia; Perissodactyla; Equidae.